AGAGUUUGAUCCUGGCUCAGGAUGAACGCUAGCGGCAGGCUUAAUACAUGCAAGUCGAGGGGCAGCAUGGUGUAGCAAUACACUGAUGGCGACCGGCAAACGGGUGCGGAACACGUACGCAACCUUCCCAAAACUGGUGAAUAGCCCUCCGAAAGGAGGAUUAAUACACCGUAACAUAACGAGAUGGCAUCAUUUUGUUAUUAUAGCUCCGGCGGUUUUGGAUGGGCGUGCGCCUGAUUAGGUAGUUGGCGGGGUAACGGCCCACCAAGCCUACGAUCAGUAACUGGUGUGAGAGCACGACCAGUCACACGGGCACUGAGACACGGGCCCGACUCCUACGGGAGGCAGCAGUAAGGAAUAUUGGUCAAUGGACGCAAGUCUGAACCAGCCAUGCCGCGUGAAGGAUGAAGGUCCUCUGGAUUGUAAACUUCUUUUAUAGGGGACGAAAAAAGGGAAUUCUUUCUCGUCUGACGGUACCCUAGGAAUAAGCACCGGCUAACUCCGUG
This 506-nucleotide ribosomal RNA is filed under the name uncultured bacterium. Its description in RNAcentral is "bacterial SSU rRNA". It matches the Rfam family "Bacterial small subunit ribosomal RNA", at positions 8 to 507 of the family's 1533-position model. The record is from RNAcentral.